CAAAUCCAUUUCCCUUGCCUCUUUACUGAUCCAGCAGACAAAUUCUGCAACCAAAUCUUGCUGGCCGGCGGAUCACUAGAACCAAGUUUGCUGGCAGGGGCCAUGCUGUUCUCCUUAUGCACAAGUAAACAGAGUCUGAUGAAGUGCCUCCUAGUGCCGUGUGCUGAGCCCUCUGCUCACUCCUGACUGCUCAGCUGAAC
Long non-coding RNA from Mobula hypostoma (lesser devil ray), 200 nucleotides. RefSeq lists it as uncharacterized. The record is from RefSeq and is a predicted model, not a curated record. Lineage: Eukaryota; Metazoa; Chordata; Chondrichthyes; Myliobatiformes; Myliobatidae. The transcript is spliced from 3 exons.